GGAAAAUGAUGAUGAUGAUGAUGAUGAUGAUGAUGAUGGUGAAGAAGAAGAAGAACACCAUCUUUGUAUCAUCAUCAUUCAUCAUCAACAACA
Molecule: microRNA precursor, 93 nt
Filed under: Bigelowiella natans CCMP2755
Lineage: Eukaryota; Cercozoa; Chlorarachniophyceae
Description: miRNA EPrBNAG00000013178
Source: RNAcentral